RNAcentral lists this ribosomal RNA (472 nucleotides) under Nocardia nova. RNAcentral describes it as "bacterial SSU rRNA". It matches the Rfam family "Bacterial small subunit ribosomal RNA", at positions 28 to 517 of the family's 1533-position model. Lineage: Bacteria; Bacillati; Actinomycetota; Actinomycetes; Mycobacteriales; Nocardiaceae. The record is from RNAcentral.
GACGAACGCUGGCGGCGUGCUUAACACAUGCAAGUCGAGCGGUAAGGCCCUUCGGGGUACACGAGCGGCGAACGGGUGAGUAACACGUGGGUGAUCUGCCUCGUACUCUGGGAUAAGCCUGGGAAACUGGGUCUAAUACCGGAUAUGACCACGAAUCGCAUGGUUUGUGGUGGAAAGAUUUAUCGGUGCGAGAUGGGCCCGCGGCCUAUCAGCUUGUUGGUGGGGUAAUGGCCUACCAAGGCGACGACGGGUAGCCGACCUGAGAGGGUGACCGGCCACACUGGGACUGAGACACGGCCCAGACUCCUACGGGAGGCAGCAGUGGGGAAUAUUGCACAAUGGGCGAAAGCCUGAUGCAGCGACGCCGCGUGAGGGAUGACGGCCUUCGGGUUGUAAACCUCUUUCGACAGGGACGAAGCGCAAGUGACGGUACCUGUAGAAGAAGCACCGGCCAACUACGUGCCAGCAGCCG